Molecule: ribosomal RNA, 226 nt
Filed under: uncultured bacterium
Lineage: Bacteria
Description: partial 16S ribosomal RNA
Rfam family: Bacterial small subunit ribosomal RNA
Source: RNAcentral
CGGGUGAGGAAUACAUCGGAAUCUGCCUUGUUGUGGGGAUAACGUAGGGAAACUUACGCUAAUACCGCAUAAGACCUUAGGGUGAAAGCGGAGGACCUUCGGGCUUCGCGCGACAAGAUGAGCCGAUGUCGGAUUAGCUAGUUGGCGGGUAAAGGCCCACCAAGGCGACGAUCCGUAGCUGGUCUGAGAGGAUGAUCAGCCACACUGGAACUGAGACACGGUCCAG